GCAGGCGUUGCGAGCCUGGAUGGGAGAGAUGCUGGGAGUGCGCCAGUACCCAGCGUUUCGGACAGUCUUCCAGCCCACCCUGCCCUCUAACCAAAGGGGAGGGAGGCAGCGCUGAAGGGAAGCGCUUUGUCUCCUUGACAACUGUGUGGGUGGGGUGGAGGCGUGAGGAAACCGCUUUGCCUCCUGGCUUGCCCGCCCCUGCGCUGGGCCGCUCCAGAGCUUCCCACCUCGCACCCCUAGAGGCUUGGCGUCCUGGGGAUGUCCCGCCCCGGGCGGAUGCAGUAACCAUAGCGACCCACAAGCCUUCCAAUCACGCCUUGGGGGUCCCUCUGUGCGCACCUUUACCUCGAGGAGCGGGGAAAAUAAGAGGGAAGAGCUUCCUGGCUGGUAGGAAGGGAGAUCCUGACGCCGGCACGACUUUAAGGAAGGGAGAUCCUGACGCCGGCACGACUUUAAGCAAGUGCAUGGAGACAGGAAUGAAGCCAGAACGCAGCAGCAGCUGGAUUCAUAUUUGACUGAAUGACUGGGGACAGCGGCCUAGACAAGCUGACAUGUGAAACUGACCAUUGCAACCAGAGACAUAAUAAACAACUCAGCCAUGUGGCAUGUUAGAUGGUGCCGCUGAGGACAAAGCCAGAUGAGAGGAUGGAAACAGAGGCCGGACGCAGUGGCUCACGUUGUAAUCUCAGCACUUUGGGAAGCCGAGAAGGGCAGAUCACCUGAGGUCAGGAGUUCAAGACCAGCCUGGCCAACAUGGCGAAGCCCCAUCUCCACUAAGAAAAUAUAUAUGUAUAUAUAUAAAAUUAGCCGGGUGUGAGGCCCUCUGGAGCCUGAGGCAGGAGAAUCA
Gorilla gorilla gorilla (western lowland gorilla) is the source of this 847-nucleotide long non-coding RNA. RefSeq lists it as uncharacterized. The transcript is spliced from 3 exons. The record is from RefSeq and is a predicted model, not a curated record. Lineage: Eukaryota; Metazoa; Chordata; Mammalia; Primates; Hominidae.